GUUCACUGCCGCACAGGCAGCAUAAAAA
RNAcentral lists this non-coding RNA (28 nucleotides) under Gynuella sunshinyii YC6258. The record is from RNAcentral. Lineage: Bacteria; Pseudomonadati; Pseudomonadota; Gammaproteobacteria; Oceanospirillales; Saccharospirillaceae.